RNAcentral lists this ribosomal RNA (245 nucleotides) under uncultured Thermogemmatispora sp. RNAcentral describes it as "partial 16S ribosomal RNA". It matches the Rfam family "Bacterial small subunit ribosomal RNA", at positions 524 to 768 of the family's 1533-position model. The record is from RNAcentral. Lineage: Bacteria; Bacillati; Chloroflexota; Ktedonobacteria; Thermogemmatisporales; Thermogemmatisporaceae.
UACGUAGGGGGCGAGCGUUGUCCGGAUUUAUUGGGCGUAAAGGGCCCGCAGGCGGUUCGCCAAGUUUGUGGUGACAGCUCCUGGCUUAACCAGGAGAGUGCUGCAAAAACUGGUGGACUUGAGAGCGAGAGAGGGACAUGGAACUCCGGGUGGAGCAGUGAAAUGCGUAGAGAUCCGGAAGAACACCAAAGGCGAAGGCAGUGUCCUGGCUCGUUUCUGACGCUCAGGGGCGAAAGCUAGGGGAG